Molecule: non-coding RNA, 109 nt
Organism: Acanthosepion pharaonis
Lineage: Eukaryota; Metazoa; Mollusca; Cephalopoda; Sepiida; Sepiidae
Source: the annotation of a GenBank genome assembly
GCCAUAUCAAGCUGAAACACAAAUUUCCAUACAAUCACUGAAGUUAAGAAACAUUGACCCUGGUCAGUACCUAGAUUGGUGACUGCUUGGGAAUACCAGGUGCUGUAAG